Anopheles stephensi (Asian malaria mosquito) is the source of this 936-nucleotide long non-coding RNA. RefSeq lists it as uncharacterized. The transcript has 3 exons. Lineage: Eukaryota; Metazoa; Arthropoda; Insecta; Diptera; Culicidae. The record is from RefSeq and is a predicted model, not a curated record.
UAAUGGGGCGUUCGCACGAGGUUGUCCACGCAAAAUGGAAAAACCUUGCAAACACCUAUCAGCGGAUUCGCAAAGACAUUUCGCGUAGUAUGGUGACUGGAGCAGGGUCGGAUGACAUUUUUGAACAUAGUUAGUAUGCUUAUGAGCAUAUGGCGUUCCUGCAGGACACGACGGUACCGCGGCCAACUUUGAAUUCCGCAAAUUUGGAAGCAUCGUCGCCACUCCCAUCCACAUCAACCAUGAUCCCCUCCCACCCACCGGUCCUAUCCUCAUCCGGCAUUCUGCCAAGUGCCUCAUCUCGGGGGCAUUUGGAAGAAUUGCCACCGACCCCAUCCACAUCCACCAUGCUUCCGGAAUGGCAAUUAAAUCCGCGAAAGCGGAAGCAAAAUAGUCGUUCCCUCCAAAUUGCGGAAUGUUUGGAAACGGUAAAGCAAAUUUGUAAAACAUCGUCUGCUCGUCGUACGGUCACCAAGGCCAGAGCUCUGGGUGAUUUUGUGGAGGCACAAGUUGCCACUUUUGAACAAAGUGACCCAGAGUUUUGUGCCAAGUUGAUUCAGGCGGUGACCAAUACGAUGAACGAGCAGGUUACAAAUUAUUAUGCCUCUCAAACCCGUGACCAUGAUUACCUGUAAUUCCUAUCCUCUCCUAUCCUCUCCUAUCCUUGUCUAUGCUGUCAUACCUAUCCUAUCCUUGUUCGUCGUCUUUCUCCUUUGGCUUUUCAACCUCACGAGUUCUUGGACUGCCAUUUCUGGCUAUCUUGACUUAUUUUGGCAGCAGCUGGAUAAUCCGUUUUGCGUAAGGAAAGACGGUCCAGUUGGAAUUUGUAUGUCCGGUUCUGCUUUGUGGAGGCUGGUGCCACUAACGCCACGAUCACCGAACCGAUCGAGACUUCUGCAGGAUGCCAAGACCGCGAGGCGGUUGUAUCGCCUGAUAAGU